RNAcentral lists this ribosomal RNA (164 nucleotides) under uncultured bacterium. RNAcentral describes it as "partial 16S rRNA". It matches the Rfam family "Bacterial small subunit ribosomal RNA", at positions 355 to 511 of the family's 1533-position model. The record is from RNAcentral.
UAGGGAAUCUUCCACAAUGGGCGAAAGCCUGAUGGAGCAACGCCGCGUGUGUGAUGAAGGGUUUCGGCUCGUAAAACACUGUUGUAAGGGAAGAAUGACAUUGAGAGUAACUGUUCAAUGUGUGACGGUAUCUUACCAGAAAGGAACGGCUAAAUACGUGCCUG